GGUGGUUGAAAAAGAAAGGAAACGGGGUAAAACAGUAGGAUCGGCGCGAAAUCUGGAGAUUUGUGAGGGAAUAGUCAUCAGACAAAACAGAGGCUUUGCCACAGUUCCCACCAUAUGGUAACUGUAUAAAAAGUAAAAAUGGAAACACCCAUUCAUUGAUCCGUCCAUCCAUCCCCUCUGUUUCAUUCUAUAAAUUAACUCCCCUAUUUUAGCAGCCACUCCAAUCAGUAAAAAAAGGAAAAACCACUCACAUCGUGCUGCGUGCGGCUGGUUUGAUUUGGUUUGUCUACCAAUGUUGUCAUCAUCAUCAUCAUCACCAUCUUCAUUGCUUAGCCAACUUGUAACACCACCACCACCCACACUGCUCCCUUAACAUUAAGCCCAUUAAAGUUCAUAAAACAUCGUGUUUUUAAAUUCAUUUACUAGGCGCCCACAAUUUGACACCUGCAAUUUCUUUUUUCUUUUUUAAAGCUACUUGUUUCUGGUGCUAACCGCAAUGUACUUUAAGUGUUGAGUGAGGACAACCCCAUUCCUAUACAACUAGUCAGGUUCAGAUCAGAUGACAGCAUGGGGCCACUUAUAAAGCUC
Molecule: long non-coding RNA, 588 nt
Filed under: Gossypium barbadense (sea-island cotton)
Lineage: Eukaryota; Viridiplantae; Streptophyta; Magnoliopsida; Malvales; Malvaceae
Description: long non-coding RNA (GBAR_LNC018649)
Source: RNAcentral